CAGCAGCCGCGGGAAUACGAAGGGGGCUAGCGUUGUUCGGAUUUACUGGGCGUAAAGGGCGCGUAGGCGGACUGAUAAGUCAGGGGUGAAAUCCCAAGGCUCAACCUUGGAACUGCCUUUGAUACUGAGGAUCUUGAGUUCGGGAGAGGUGAGUGGAACUGCGAGUGUAGAGGUGAAAUUCGUAGAUAUUCGCAAGAACACCAGUGGCGAAGGCGGCUCACUGGCCCGAUACUGACGCUGAGGCACGAAAGCGUGGGGAGCAAACAGGAUUAGAACCCCAGUAGUCCCUGUCUCUUAUACA
Molecule: ribosomal RNA, 301 nt
Filed under: uncultured bacterium
Lineage: Bacteria
Description: partial 16S ribosomal RNA
Rfam family: Bacterial small subunit ribosomal RNA
Source: RNAcentral